AAAGGAAUUGACGGGGGCCCGCACAAGCGGCGGAGCAUGCGGAUUAAUUCGAUGCAACGCGAAGAACCUUACCUGGGCUUGACAUGUUCCGGACGACCUCAGAGAUGGGGUUUCCCUUCGGGGCCGGUUCACAGGUGGUGCAUGGUCGUCGUCAGCUCGUGUCGUGAGAUGUUGGGUUAAGUCCCGCAACGAGCGCAACCCUUGCCUUGUGUUGCCAGCGCGUCAUGGCGGGAACUCGCAAGGGACCGCCGGGGUUAACUCGGAGGAAGGUGGGGAUGACGUCAGAUCAUCAUGCCCCUUACGUCCAGGGCUUCACGCAUGCUACAAUGGCCGGUACAACGGGAUGCGACGCCGCGAGGCGGAGCGGAUCCCUGAAAACCGGUCUCAGUUCGGAUCGCAGUCUGCAACUCGACUGCGUGAAGGCGGAGUCGCUAGUAAUCGCGAAUCAGCAACGUCGCGGUGAAUGCGUUCCCGGGCCUUGUACACACCGCCCGU
RNAcentral lists this ribosomal RNA (495 nucleotides) under uncultured bacterium. RNAcentral's name for it is "bacterial SSU rRNA". It matches the Rfam family "Bacterial small subunit ribosomal RNA", at positions 903 to 1397 of the family's 1533-position model. The record is from RNAcentral.